RNAcentral lists this ribosomal RNA (629 nucleotides) under uncultured eukaryote. Its description in RNAcentral is "eukaryotic LSU rRNA". The stretch from base 233 to 386 matches the Rfam family "5.8S ribosomal RNA". The record is from RNAcentral.
UAAAAGUCGUAACAAGGUCUCCGUAGGUGAACCUGCGGAAGGAUCAUUACCGUUUGUCUUUUGACAAAACCACUGUGAACUGUAUUGAGCAGGUGGGGUAACGUUUAACUACGUUUUACGUUUUAAAUGACUUCGGUCGGCCCCACUUGUGCACCAAUUAUGUAAUUUUUUUAACACACUGUUUAGCCUGUGCUACUUCGUGCUACGGUAUGAAGUGAAAAUGAAACGUGACAACUUCUAACGGUGGAUCUCUAGGCUCGUGCAUCGAUGAAGAACGUAGCCAGUUGCGAUAAGUAGUGUGAAUUGCAGAAUUCAGUGAAUCAUCGAAUCUUUGAACGCAAAUUGCGCUCUCUGGAUAUCCAGGGAGCAUGCCUGUCUGAGCGUCGUUUAAGAAUCUACACAUAAUUUUAUGUGGGAAGAGUGUUCAUGCAUUUUUAUGCAUGUCUCUCUAUGGAUUUGAACCGUGCAGUGCGUCAAUGCGUGCUGCUUGGAAGGCUCAACUUGCUUCUGUCCUUCUAAAGCAGUUAUGCGCUGAGUGCAUUACGUGUUCUUGCUCGACUCUCGUCGAACAUUUCUAAUUUUGACCUCAGAUCAGACAAGACUACCCGCUGAAUUUAAGCAUAUCAAUA